Long non-coding RNA from Corapipo altera (White-ruffed manakin), 208 nucleotides. RefSeq lists it as uncharacterized. NCBI's taxonomy places the organism in Eukaryota, Metazoa, Chordata, Aves, Passeriformes, Pipridae. The record is from RefSeq and is a predicted model, not a curated record. The transcript has 3 exons.
ACCAAAGCUUCCAGACUUUUUUUCCUGGUGGAAAGAGCUGCUGUUCCCUUUUCUCUGCCCUUCUCUGCAAUUGCCUGUCUCACCUCCUGGAAAAUUGAAUCCAAAUGAUGAUUCCUGCCAGGCAAAAGGUGCCACCACAGAAAGGUCUUGCUACCCAAGAAGUGCCCAGGCUGUCCCAACAACUACACCUGAAGCCAAAGGAUGCAGA